Molecule: ribosomal RNA, 403 nt
Filed under: uncultured bacterium
Lineage: Bacteria
Description: bacterial SSU rRNA
Rfam family: Bacterial small subunit ribosomal RNA
Source: RNAcentral
UGGGGAAUCUUGCACAAUGGAGGAAACUCUGAUGCAGCGACGCCGCGUGAGCGAUGAAGCCUCGGGUGUGAAGCAGUCUUUCGGCAGGAACGAUAAUGACGGUACCUGAAGAAGAAGCUGCGGCUAACUACGUGCCAGCAGCCGCGGUAAUACGUAGGCAGCAAGCGUUGUUCGGAAUUACUGGGUGUAAAGAGUGUGUAGGCGGUGCUCUAAGUUCGGUGUGAAAUCUCCCGGCUCAACUGGGAGGGUGCGCCGAAAACUGGAAUGCUUGAACAUGGGAGAGGAAAGCGGAAUUCCUGGUGUAGCGGUGAAAUGCGUAGAUAUCAGGAGGAACACCUGCGGUUGUUAGACGGCUUUCUGGACCAUUGUUGACGCUGAGACACGAAAGCGUGGGUAGCAAACA